AAUGUCUACCAGACACCCAGUCAAGCCAGAUACGUUGAAGCUGCACCAAAUCAAACAAACAGCGGACAGACUUCGGCCGACGGUUCACAUCCGAGGAAUUUGAACAUCUUUAAUGAUCUUCUUCCCAUCAAGCCAAGAGCUGCACUAACAACACCUUACUCGCCUCAUUUAUCAACGGAAGGAAAAUUGGAGAAAUUGCAAUAGUGCCGUGGCAGCAGACACGAGUGAUGUUAGUGAAAUGACGAAGUACUUGUUUUGGACAUUGUGGCGUGAGGAGAAUGAGGAGCUGUGCAAGAACGUCAUCCUGGUAGUUAUCAUGCAGAUGAUGAGCAGAACUGGUGAAAGUGGCACGCGGCCGGAAGACAAGAGAAGGAUGUGGAAAGACGGGAGACAGAACAAGAAAGAGAUGGGGUGGGAAAAUAGGGAGAGACUUAGAAACGGAAGGAGCAUACAGGAACAGAUGGCGGCAGACAGGAAGAAAGAAAGUGCAUAAGGAGAAAUAGGGUCGGAUGAUAGGGAAACAGAUGGGAAAAUGGGGAAAGAGAACAUUGCAGGAGUAGAGAGGGACGGGGUGGGUACGCAGGAAGGAAGAGA
This is a long non-coding RNA of Corticium candelabrum, 594 nucleotides long. RefSeq lists it as uncharacterized. The transcript is spliced from 3 exons. Lineage: Eukaryota; Metazoa; Porifera; Homoscleromorpha; Homosclerophorida; Plakinidae. The record is from RefSeq and is a predicted model, not a curated record.